CCUGUGAAACCUAAAAGUUCGAAAAGAGAGAUUCAACGUCAGUUUGUACAGUAUUGACGUGAGUAGUGAUGCUUUGAUACAUUGGUUGGAUCAACACUUCCAAUUGUAACUGGCACAUUUUCAUGUUAUUUUAUUGCUGAACUAACACCGGCGUGCACUUCUCUCUUAGUAGGACAUCCCGACCCAUUGAGUCUUAGCCUACGGCCCAAAUGGAUGCCUUUAAUAAUUUUUAUUAAAGUCCUUUGGUGUUCUCCUGGCCUAAGUGCUCGAUGGUAGUAAACGAUAUGGUGUUGAGCCGCAAAUUUUUUUUGCGUCCGGCCUUCCGCAAGUUUAUUGACGGGUUCCGUAUCACUUUAGACUUUGUGCUAAGUGUAUGGUCUCGUUGGCUGUUUGCAUGGUUGUGCUUUAGGACUGGCUCGUUCGCCUGUCAGGGAUGCUUAGGCUUUGGGUACUCACAGGACCCGUCUUGAAACACGGACCAAGGAGUCUAACAUGUACGCGAGUCAUUGGGUAUAUAUUUUCCUUCGGAAUUUAUAUAAAACAAACCUAAAGGCGAAAUGAAAGUAAAGGUUAAA
This 575-nucleotide ribosomal RNA is filed under the name Biroia fuscicornis. Its description in RNAcentral is "eukaryotic LSU rRNA". It matches the Rfam family "Eukaryotic large subunit ribosomal RNA", at positions 386 to 736 of the family's 3401-position model. Lineage: Eukaryota; Metazoa; Arthropoda; Insecta; Hymenoptera; Braconidae. The record is from RNAcentral.